GAUGAACGCUGGCGGCGUGCCUAAUACAUGCAAGUCGAGCGAACAGACGAGGAGCUUGCUCCUCUGAUGUUAGCGGCGGACGGGUGAGUAACACGUGGAUAACCUACCUAUAAGACUGGGAUAACUUCGGGAAACCGGAGCUAAUACCGGAUAACAUUUUGAACCGCAUGGUUCAACAGUGAAAGACGGUCUUGCUGUCACUUAUAGAUGGAUCCGCGCCGCAUUAGCUAGUUGGUAAGGUAACGGCUUACCAAGGCAACGAUGCGUAGCCGACCUGAGAGGGUGAUCGGCCACACUGGAACUGAGACACGGUCCAGACUCCUACGGGAGGCAGCAGUAGGGAAUCUUCCGCAAAGGGCGAAAGCCUGACGGAGCAACGCCGCGUGAGUGAAGAAGGUCUUCGGAUCGUAAAACUCUGUUAUUAGGGAAGAACAAAUGUGUAAGUAACUAUGCACGUCUUGACGGUACCUAAUCAGAAAGCCACGGCUAACUACGUG
RNAcentral lists this ribosomal RNA (497 nucleotides) under uncultured bacterium. RNAcentral's name for it is "partial 16S ribosomal RNA". It matches the Rfam family "Bacterial small subunit ribosomal RNA", at positions 28 to 507 of the family's 1533-position model. The record is from RNAcentral.